Molecule: unclassified non-coding RNA, 255 nt
Filed under: Glomus sp.
Lineage: Eukaryota; Fungi; Glomeromycota; Glomeromycetes; Glomerales; Glomeraceae
Description: partial contains 5.8S ribosomal RNA and internal transcribed spacer 2
Rfam family: 5.8S ribosomal RNA (bases 1-65)
Source: RNAcentral
GUGAAUCAUCGAAUUUUUGAACGCAAAUUGCACCCUUUUCGGAGAGUAUGGCUGUUUGAGGGUCAGCCUAUAAAAAAUCGUCAUCGUUGCUGUUUCACGGUGAGGUUCGUCGGCAAUUGGGUCAUCUUAAAUCUUUUGGGUUUAAGCGACUUGGAAUUUUCUUUUUGAUUAACUGAAAGUCUUGCUACGAUUUAUUUCUUUCCACGUUUAAGGUAUCGAUUUUUAUUAGACGUGACCAUCAUAUAGGCUCGCGUA